Molecule: ribosomal RNA, 631 nt
Rfam family: Eukaryotic small subunit ribosomal RNA
CGCGCGUCCUUUCUUUCGGAGCUCUCCGCUGCUCUUAGCUGAGCGGUGGAGGGAGACGGAUCGUUUACUUUGAAAAAAUCAGAGUGUUUCAAGCAGGCAGCUCGCUCUUGCAUGGAUUAGCAUGGGAUAAUGAAAUAGGACUCUGGUGCUAUUUUGUUGGUUUCGAACACCGGAGUAAUGGUCAACAGGGACAGUCAGGGGCACUCGUAUUCCGCCGAGAGAGGUGAAAUUCUCAGACCAGCGGAAGACGAACCACUGCGAAAGCAUUUGCCAGGGAUGUUUUCACUGAUCAAGAACGAAAGUUAGGGGAUCGAAGACGAUCAGAUACCGUCGUAGUCUUAACCAUAAACCAUGCCGACUAGGGAUUGGGGGCUGUUCCUUUUGUGACUCCCUCAGCACCUUUCGGGAAACUAAAGUCUUUGGGUUCCGGGGGGAGUAUGGUCGCAAGGCUGAAACUUAAAGGAAUUGACGGAAGGGCACCACCAGGAGUGGAGCCUGCGGCUUAAUUUGACUCAACACGGGGAAACUUACCAGGUCCAGACAUUGUGAGGAUUGACAGAUUGAGAGCUCUUUCUUGAUUCGAUGGGUGGUGGUGCAUGGCCGUUCUUAGUUGGUGGAGUGAUUUGUCUGG